UAGUCCACGCCCUAAACGAUGAAUGUUAGUCGUCGGGUAGCUAGUCUAUUCGGUGAUGCAGCUAACGCAUUAAACAUUCCGCCUGGGGAGUACGGUCGCAAGAUUAAAACUCAAAGGAAUAGACGGGGACCCGCACAAGUGGUGGAGCAUGUGGUUUAAUUCGAAGAUACGCGAAGAACUUACCCCCUAGCCUUGACAUAUUAAAGAACACUUUAGAGAUAGAGUGGUGCCUUCGGGAGCUUUUAUACAGGUGCUGCACGGCUGUCGUCAGCUCGUGUCGUGAGAUGUUGGGUUAGGUCCCGCAACGAGCGCAACCCUCGUCACUAGUUACUAACGGUUCGGCCGAGGACUCUAGUGAGACUGCCUUCGCAAGGAGGAGGAAGGUGAGGACGACGUCAAGUCAUCAUGGGCCCUUAGGCUAGGGGCAACACACGUGCUACAAUGGGCCAGGGACAAUGAGAAGCGAUACCGCGAGGGUGGGAGC
RNAcentral lists this ribosomal RNA (484 nucleotides) under uncultured bacterium. RNAcentral's name for it is "bacterial SSU rRNA". It matches the Rfam family "Bacterial small subunit ribosomal RNA", at positions 791 to 1268 of the family's 1533-position model. The record is from RNAcentral.